Molecule: long non-coding RNA, 3633 nt
Organism: Leopardus geoffroyi (Geoffroy's cat)
Lineage: Eukaryota; Metazoa; Chordata; Mammalia; Carnivora; Felidae
Exons: 2
Source: RefSeq, a predicted model, not a curated record
UCCAAGCAGAGCUAGGGAGCAGGGGACAAGGCCUUCCCACUGUGAUUGAGAGAGAUGCUGUCCGACUCCAAAUCCCCGCGCCACUCUGACACGAGGCUGCGUAUAAGGCAGCUUCUCACUGUCCUUCCAUUUCUCGUUUUACCUCAUUUGGUUAAACCGCACAAGCUCAGUGCUUGGAACUUCCGUUUUCUUAUCUUGAACAUCAUGUGCUGUUCCAGCUCCAGCCAGCCACCCAGGAAGGAAGCAUCCUGUUCCUUUUAAACAGAGGGCCCGGCCGGCCACAUGGCCACGCUGUUGACAAGCUCUGAUCCACACUCUGCAAUGUGACUUUGCAGCUUUUGACUGGUUUCAUGGCUUGCUUCUGGCCGAGAGAAUGAUUCUUUGCUGAUAGCGUCCCGGUUCUGAGCCCAGACCCCACCACACUUCCACUCUUUCUCCUGGAAGUCGGGCACACAGUCGGCACACAGCAGCCCAGCCCAGCCCAGCCCAGCCUGCUGGAGGAUGAGGGGCCACGUGAAACAGAGAUGAGCUGCCCCAGCAGAGACCAUCCCAUACCAGCCAGCCUCCUGAAGAUGCUUGAAAGGGUCCAGAUGAGCUGAGCCUGGCCCAGAUUAGCAGAACCACCAAGCUGAUCUGCUGAUCAGCGAGCAAAAAUAAAUGGUACUUGUUUUAAUCCACCAAGUUUGGGGGGUGAUUGUCACAUAGUAAUUAGCAAUGAAAACAAUGACUAAGUAAUGCUAGCAUUCCAAACCAAGUUUCUUUACUCCAAAAUCCUUUGUCUUUUAACGUCUGAUUUCUAGUGACACACUCCCAUGUUCCACAUUUUACUCACUAACAUCAUCUUCUCCAAUUCCACUUUUCUCUUUCCCGUAGGUUCUAGUAGCAGACAUUCCUGAUUGCUGGCAACGGAUUUGGGAAUCUCAGUUGAAAAAGCCAGCAAUGGUGGCUGCAAUUCCUCCAUUGGCCAUUGGCCAGGAGUGAAUGCGUGACCCAUUUCUGAUGGUGAGGUAGAAGGCUGAGCCACCUGGAGGGCUGUGGGGAAAGAUUUCCUUUUUCUGGAGGACAGAAACACCAGAACAUACAACCUUUUUCUGAUUUUUCUUGCUGCCCACCAUCUUGCAACAAUGGAGGAGGCCUACUUGAGGCUGAAGGUAACUGAGGACGGCAGAGAACAGACACCAAGGUCACCCGGAUAGCUCAGACACCGAGACAGAGCCAUGCUUGGGAUCCAUAGUGUGUUUCCUUUGAAUUUUCCCAUUUGUUUCAGCGAGUUUGAUUUUUUUUUUUUUUCUUUUUACUGGUAGCCAAAAGCAUCCUAAUGGGUAGAGUUCCAAUCAUCAGAUAAAAGGAUCCAGCCAUCUGGUUGUUGAAUCCUUUAUUCCUACAAAAACCAAAGUAAAAGUUCAGAGGACACUGAAGCCGAUUCCCAGGAGGCAGACCUCAAUUUGUGGGAGCCCUGUAUUUCUGACCCAUAUCUGCUCCUUUUGGCUGACUUUAGCAGUAAGCAGCGGCCUUGGGACUCAAAGCAGGAUGACUGCAGGAUGCGGGUAAAGCAGGAAGACUUUGGGAAGUUCUGGGGAGCAUGGCUCAAUGUGCGGGCCAGAGAUCUGAGUACACAACAGAUGUUCCACGCAUGUGUGCUCUUGGGGGCGUUCUCCCUUCCACUGGUCCCAACUUUUCUUCCCCAUCCCUGGACUCCAGGAAGCACAUGGUAUGUGCCUUUAUUCAGAGAUGACCGUCAAAACAUUGAGCAACUGCUAUGCUCAGAUGCAGACCAAACAAAACAGAGGGCCACUGCAGUGCUGGGGCAGGGGUUUGGAGGCCCCUGUUUGGGGAUCAUGGGGAAGUUGGGGCCACUGGGUGGGAAGCAGGUCCUUGAGGUGGGGUCAGGACAGAAAAGACAGAAGAUGGAUUCUGUGGGGCAAGUGGGUGGGCAGUGAGGACAGCAUGUGUUUACCUGCCUGGAGUUAGUUGCUGAAAUUUUAACAACUUGUUUGGCCAUACUGAGAGGCAUACUAGACAAUUCUAUUCUAAUACAUAUUCUUUUCUAUGUGCCUGUGUUUGCUCUGCUAGCUUGUGGACCCCAGAGGCCAGAGGCACUGUGAUACCCACUGAUUUGCAUAUCCCCAGCACACAGGCCAUCUCAACACAGUUGGGUGAAUUGAACAGAGUCAACAAUAUAAAUCCCCAAGACCCAUUCUCUUCAUCUAGUCCAGAUUCUGAAUAAAGAAGAAUCUGACUGGUCACAGCCAUUUUCCUCUGAAACAAUUAUUUCUUUGGAGCAGAGUUAUGGGGAGUUAAGGUGACCUCUGACGGUCCGACCUCCUUCGCCCUGAGAUAGCUCAAGAUCAAACUGUCUCACCGAGGAGAGCAGAUGGCAGAGGGAGCUGGGGGGAGAGGGCAGCCCCCUGUGUCUUGCAGGCUGUGGAGCACGCUGUGCCUCCGUCAUCAUUAGUGAUUCAAUAGUUCUCAUUUGACUGAGAAAGAGUGCGAAACCCUGCUGCAUACAACCUUGUCCUGGGAACUCCUCGAAAAAGCCAGGAAUCCCAGGACGUGGACACUGUCUGGUUCUUGAGGGCACUGCUGUGUCCUAUUCACCUUUCUUUUCCCCAACACCAAUCCUGGCAGGGGCUCCAGGGCCAGCUGCUAGGAGCCUGAGUGAGGGAAUGAAUGAAUGAGUGAAUGAAUGAAUGGGGGCACCCUCCUUUACAAGUAGUUUUGAAAUGAAGACAUGAAAUGAACUUUGGAGUCAUAGUAAUUUGGGUUCCCAUCCAGGUUUUGCCACUUAAAGGCUAUUGAAUUCGGGCAAACUCCUUAGUUUAGAUAAAUUUCUGUUUCUUGCGUACAAAUAGAUAUAAUAAAACCAACACCAACAGCUCACAACUCCUGUAAAGUGCCCAGUAUAACACCCAACAGUGCCUAAUGAAUUGUAGCUACUCCCCUUCUAUCAUCAUUUUCAUUUUUUUCUUCCUUUCACUUUCCUUGUUUUAAUAUUAUUAUUAUUAUCAUUAUUACUAUUAUUCUUAAACUCACUACCCAGAGAUACUCUUUGAAUGUAAUAGAACUGCCUGGUUUGAGGUUUGUUUCCACCCCCCUCCCCCGCCACCUAAAUAAUAUCUGGAUAAAUCAGCAUAAAAUUGUCUCUCUAAACAGUCUUUGCUGUCCAUUUAUGGCCAUUUCACUUGCAUCCACUAAGGGGGAAGAGCUAUUGGAAACAAGCCUAAGAAAUCACGUAAUGUCUAAAUAGAGCGAGUACCUACUUCCGGCGAUCUGCCUCCUAAUUUUCACCGGGCACUUAUGGUGUGCCAGGCACAGUGCAGAGCUCCUUACUGUUCUUAUCUCUCUCCUAAUCCCUAUCACAACCAGGGAAGUGGGUAUCAAGGUAAUCUUCAAUUUACAGAUGAGGAAAGCGAGGCUCAGAGAGGUUGAAUGAGGAGGUCAAGGGGAUGAGCGCGACAGAGCCAGCAUCAUGAGCAUGCUGGUUGGCCCCCACCUGCCAUUCCUUCCUCCCCUUGGGUUUUCAGCCAUCAGCCACACCCCUAACUCCAAUGAAUGACUCUAAUUGGUUUAAGCCAAUUCUGGAAGUCUUAGCCUUUUCGGACAGUGAUUGGCUCAAAUAAACCAGAAUGUAGC